This 507-nucleotide ribosomal RNA is filed under the name uncultured Eubacteriales bacterium. RNAcentral's name for it is "uncultured Clostridiales bacterium partial 16S ribosomal RNA". Lineage: Bacteria; Bacillati; Bacillota; Clostridia; Eubacteriales. The record is from RNAcentral.
CACGUAUUUAGCCGGGGCUCCUUGGUCAGGUACCGUCAUUCUCUUCCCUGCUGACAGAGCUUUACAUACCGGAGUACUCCAUCGCUCACGCGGCGUCGCUGCAUCAGGGUUGCCCCCAUUGUGCAAUAUCCCCCACUGCUGCCUCCCGUAGGAGUCUGGGCCGUGUCUCAGUCCCAAUGUGGCCGUCCACCCUCUCAGGCCGGCUACUGAUCGUCGCCUUGGUGGCCGUUACCCCGCCAACCAGCUAAUCAGACGCGGACCCAUCCCGCACCGCACAAGGCUUUCGCACCGCCCAUGUGGGGCUGUGCGCAUAUGCGGUAUUAGCAGCCCGUUUCCGGCUGUUGUCCCCCAGUGCGGGGUAGGUUGUCCACGCGUUACUCACCCGUCCGCCACUCAGUCACAGAGGCUUCCCGUCCCCGGAGGGACUUCCACCUAAGUGCUUCGUUCGACUUGCAUGUGUUAGGCACGCCGCCAGCGUUCACUCCGUGUAGCCGAGGACUACGUAAA